This 1598-nucleotide long non-coding RNA is filed under the name Homo sapiens (human). Its description in RNAcentral is "HSALNT0040319". The record is from RNAcentral. Lineage: Eukaryota; Metazoa; Chordata; Mammalia; Primates; Hominidae.
ACUGUAUCCACAGAGCGGUGCUCUUGCCUUGAAAGGAAGGAUUUGCCCCGGUUUGGAAGGAAGUGGAAUAAAUAGAACUGGAAAUGGCAAGGUCACCUUUAAUAUCAUAUGAACUGCCUAUUAACAAGCUUCACAAUUGCUUUGUUUCUUCCUCCUCCCGUGCUAUAAACAGGCUCAGGCAGAGCAAACUCUUGGAGCACACACAGUGUGGGGAGGAAGCUCUCAGAGCAGCAAGGAAGGAGAGGCUGCAGGCUCAACAGGGCCCAUCAAGCAUACCAGGGUUACAAUUGUGUUAUGGUGUGGUGGCCAGGAGGGAAAAAUGCUUGUUUUUCAAGGAAGGAACUAUAUUGUCCCAAAUUCCUGUGUAUAAAAUAUAGGACAAACAAGUUACAGUGGGAAUAUUUAAUUGGAGCAUGUGGAAUAGAUGGAAUAAUUGCCUUUCACUUGGCUUUUCCCUGCUCUAAGUAGUAUCACAUGGUGGUUACAUAAAGACAAAAAAGUUAUUUUAAGAACCCUUCUCCUUAGGACCCUGUUUAGUUGGUAUUCCAAACACACAGAGCAAGCUCUUCACUGGCAUUCUGCUUGACAGAUUUUUCUUUCUUUCCAGGCUCCUUCAGGCACAUUCUGUUGGGCUUCCCUCUACCUCCCCACUCUGCUGCUUCCCCGCUCUUUUUGAAUUUCUCCCUGUUGAGGAGAGGGAAGACCAGCUAGGAGCUCUGUUUCUGGCAGGAAUCUGACACCACUUACUCCUUGGGUAGAAACUCCCCCAAGUCUGAACUAUGUGAUUGCCUGAGCCCUGCUUCUUGUUCAUUAAGACUGCUCCUCUGAAACGGAAUUGAUGAAUUUUUAGUGGCUAUUAGAAGCAUUUGGGAUCCAUAGGCAUCAGGGUUUGAUGCAUGGCCCUCAUCUCUGUGGGCUCCUGUGCAAUGAUUCUCAUCUGUCUUAGUUAGAAAGUGAAUUAAUCUUGACCUUGGCCUCAGGGGUGUGGUUCUCUGCCCUCUUACACAUCUUCAAUUCGCUUCUUUAUCAGAAGCACUUGUUUUAGGCCCAGGCUCCCCCAAUUUUAAUGACAUUUAGACAUUUGUCUUUAAGUUACAUUGCUUUGAUUUUAAUCAAAAUCUAUAUUUCUAGUAUUAUAUGUUUCCAGAAAGUUCUCAUUCUGGAUUGUAAUUUAAUUACAUGGAUCAUUAAAGCUUUGAAGGAUGCUAAUGGGCAGAAAAAAGAGACUUAACAAAACGAAAGUUAUUAUUAGGAAUUACAAAUCACUUAACAUUUCAACAUCACUCGUCGGAUGUGGGCAUUUUGUUGAAAGAGACCUUGUUUUGAACAGUGACAGUGCAGAAGACCUAUGGAAGAAACAAGCUUCCAACUUGAUUUCUAUUGUUAUGCAUGCAUAGCAAAUUAUUAAUUCUAUUCUAAUAGGGUAAUAGAUUUAGAAAUACUAUUAGCAGAAAACUUGAUGUAUUAGGCAAUACUACAUACCACAUUAGUCUAACCGCUCAACUGUAAUUUUUCAUCCAUACUUUCUUGGGAUGUAAAUAAAAUUGAUAUUAUACAAUGAAAAUAAAAUUGCCCACUAGUCUUGCUUAUUCUCUUGG